CACAAGUCGUAUGAGUGUAGCCUUCCCUGUGCAGUUCUAAGUGAGGGAGCGACGGAAAGGCUGGUACAGGAACAUGGAUUCCCAGGCCAUGAACCGUGGUAGACAUGGAAAGCCACACUCCAGAAGAUCCAGCUGACCAAUUCCCUUUUGUCUGGCGAGCAUUAAAGUCACCCAGCACAGCACGUUGUUCUGCUUAAAGAGGGAAAAAUGCUUCUUUAAAAAAAAAUGAAACGAAAUCAAAGGACUUUAGCCACCUCAUGGUAUAAUAGGAUUUUUUUUUCUACCCUGAUCGUGGGGGAGAAAAAACCUAAUCUAAAAUUUCAGCUGCACACGUUGAUUAGCCAGAAUUCCGCCUCAAGUUCUGGAGGCAACAGACGGGAAUCCUUUGGCUGUAUGGAUGCAAAAAUGGAGCAUGACUUGACUUGAUAUGGCAGCCAGGAAUUUAGCUCAAGGAAACUGCUCAGUCUGAGGACAGACUUGGUUAGUUUUGUGGGUUGAAGCACUCCUAGUGCUAGGACCUGACCUGGUGCCAUCUCAGACCUCGGUGUGGCAUAAGGAGCCCACAAAGAGCUUCUUCUCCCCCGAACUGUGGGACAUUUUAACUCAGCUCCCACUUGCACAGAGCCAGUCAUCUGGAGACACUUGGGCAGACCGGUCAGAUAGUGCCAGACACACAAAACGGAGGAGCGGGGGGGAUACCGGAGCAGAGAACAGGGGUUAAUUUUAAAUAUGCAUCAGAUCGGCCGCCCUAUUCCCACACCUGGCUCUCGCCCGCUUGUGGUGCACGGGGACGCCAAUCGCUCCGCUCUCUAGCUUAGGUUUUGCACGUGGCUGAAAAGUGCUUUGCGGUGUGUGUGCGUGUGAGAAUCAGAAUCAACCCACCGCUGGAGUGAUGCAGCCAGCCAACCACCAU
Molecule: non-coding RNA, 913 nt
Organism: Chelonoidis abingdonii (Abingdon island giant tortoise)
Lineage: Eukaryota; Metazoa; Chordata; Testudines; Testudinidae
Source: RefSeq, a predicted model, not a curated record